Molecule: transfer RNA, 73 nt
Filed under: Felis catus (domestic cat)
Lineage: Eukaryota; Metazoa; Chordata; Mammalia; Carnivora; Felidae
Rfam family: tRNA
About the family: Transfer RNA (tRNA) molecules are approximately 80 nucleotides in length.
Source: Rfam by way of RNAcentral
GCCCGGCUGGCUCAGUCAGUAGAGCGCACGACUCUUGAUCUCGGGGUCGUGAGUUCGAGCUCCAUGUUGGGCA